GCGGAAAACACCGUGAAUCCACAGGAGAAGCUGCCCAUGAUGUCAGUGUUAAACACCUGGCCUCGAGCAACUCUCCUGCCUCGGCUUCCCAGAGUUCUAGAAUCACAAGUAUGAGCUACUGUGCCCAGCCUCAUCCAUGCAUUUCAAUCAAAGCUUCACCAUCAUCCUUUCUGACCCACUCCUAAACCUGAAGAAACUCAGUUUUUCGGAGAUGUUCAAAACCUAUUCUCUAAGCUUUAUUGUGGAUCUCCGCACCCCAGGAAGUUUUCUGGGCCUUGGUCUGAGGGCUGAGGUCAGGCUGGGCUUUUUAACCAGCAGACUUUGUCCGGAGGCCCUGACUGCUGUAUCGAAACUCUUCAUCCACAGCCAGGGAA
This is a long non-coding RNA of Cercocebus atys (sooty mangabey), 374 nucleotides long. RefSeq lists it as uncharacterized. The transcript has 3 exons. NCBI's taxonomy places the organism in Eukaryota, Metazoa, Chordata, Mammalia, Primates, Cercopithecidae. The record is from RefSeq and is a predicted model, not a curated record.